GAGGAAGACGACUUGAAGACUGUCUCAGAGGAAGACAGAGAGAAGGCGGCGUCUGCAGCAAGGAAAGGGGCCUCAGAAGAAGCCGACCUGCUGGCACCUUCAUCUUCCACUUCCAGCUUCCAGAACUAUGGGAAAAUGAAUUUCUGUUGCUUUGAUUUUUUGAAGAAGAAGAUCUGCCCUGAGCUAACAUCUGCUGCCAAUCCUCCUCUUUUUGCUGAGGAAGACUGGCCCUGAGCUAACAUCCAUGCCCAUCUUCCUCUACUUUAUACGUGGGACGCCUACCACAGCAUGGCGUGCCAAGCGGUGCCACGUCCGCACCCGGGAUCUGAACUGGUGAAUCCCGGGCCGCCGAGAAGCGGAACGUGUGCACUUACCCACUGCGCCACCGGGCUGGCCUCUGGAGAUAUUUUGAAGAGAAGAGUGAGAGUGUGCCUGUGAUGGGCAGAAAAUUCUCUGAAAGUCAUUUCUGUUCACUCAGGACGUUCCACGAGCUAAGACUUGCCAUCUCUCCCUUUCACCUCCCCUCUCCCACCCCUGAAACACUUUCCAUUUUCUCACUGUAGUGUAUCCUUCGUGCCACCUCCAGUUAUCUCAUUCAAAUCCAGCCCUGAUCACUUCACUAACCUCUUCAAAAGACUAUGGUUGUUCUCCACUGCCUUUGGGGUCAAGACCAAAAUCCUUAGCAUAGCACAGAAGACACUUCACAACCAGGUCCUGUCCUGUCCCCUGCAGCUUCCGCCCCUAGUCCUCGACCUCCACCAUUCCCCUGCCCAAUACAGCAACACAAAGGAAGCAUCUGUCCCACAGGAGGCCUCACCUCUCUGCCCCGUGUGGGAACCCUGGCAGGCGUGGCAGGCCUCCCGGAGCCCCAUCUACAUAAGAACCAGGUGGUCCUGAGAGAAACAAGGAAAAAGGAAUGUUGGAACUAGUGUUAAUCCCGAGCAACCUGGCAUUAAGGCUCUUCAGUGUGAGCGAUGCCUGGCACUUGCUUGGCUGCCGGGGGAGAGAGAUGCUGUGGUGGUUGUAGGAAAGGAAUUGUGCUUUACUGGGAAACUAGGCAUUGUCUGGAGGAAAGCCCUUGGGUCGUCUGAUUCUAAUCUUUCAUUACCUUUGAGCUACUUUACAACCUUUUCAGUUGUAAGUAAUUGAUAGUAAUGCAAAAUAAUCCUCUGACAUGCAAAUUCUGUCCUGUCUGGUAGGGCUCUCAUUGAUUUCCCCAGCCUCUGUGGUGAAAUCAGUUUGCUUCUAUUUACACAUUCAUUUCAAUAUUUCUGAUCUAUAAAUAUAGCUGUUCUUUGAGUUAUUUCAUUGAUUCAUUGAAUCAAUGUUUCCUUCAUUGAUUAGUGAGUAAAAUAAGAUGUUUAAC
RNAcentral lists this long non-coding RNA (1366 nucleotides) under Equus caballus (horse). RNAcentral's name for it is "lncRNA (ENSECAG00000046207.1)". Lineage: Eukaryota; Metazoa; Chordata; Mammalia; Perissodactyla; Equidae. The record is from RNAcentral.